Hermetia illucens (black soldier fly) is the source of this 1601-nucleotide long non-coding RNA. RefSeq lists it as uncharacterized. Lineage: Eukaryota; Metazoa; Arthropoda; Insecta; Diptera; Stratiomyidae. The record is from RefSeq and is a predicted model, not a curated record. The transcript is spliced from 5 exons.
UCGGCUGAUUGAGUAUGUUUCGCGCUUGAGGGUUGGUCUGAUGGUGUCGAAAUCGGGGUGAAUGCGUUCCGCGAGUUUUGCUCCCUGUACAGGUCUGGCCGCGGCGUUUUUUAGGUGAGAAAAGAAGGUUGCCCUUAGUGCCUGGUCCAAUAAGCCGCAGAUUGGCGUAGUCCUACCUGUUCGGCCGGUAUUUGCGUGGCGAUAAGGUGUUGCAUUCGAGCGGGUGUUCGUUGUCCUGACCCCAGGAAGACAGGCAGCCGAUUAACAGGGCGGCUUACGUGUCGUUGUUGUUCCUGGAGGCUCAGAUCCCUACUAUCUAUUUUCGCUGUAAGUGUUCCCGGGGUUCACUAAAAAUCUCGUUUUAGGUUCUCAACCGGUGGCUAGGCUGAACGACUUGUGGUUUAUCACCAGCCGUAGUUCGUAAGAAAUCCGAAAAGUUGCAAAUCAAGUUCUGUGUUCGCCUAAAUUUUUGUUCGUCGUGCUUUCGCCGCCAGCUUGCUUUCCGGUUUGCCAAGUUGCGGAGGCUCCCCGGUGCAUGGCCCCAAACUGAUAUAAGUUUCGCUGUCGGCUAGCAGUGGAUUUCGCGCGCGUUUGUAUCGCUCCAGACAAGCCCAAGGAGUAUGAAGCGUAUUGCAAAGUGUACCUUACCCUGCCUGCGUUGAAAGGAGGGCGGCUGCUUCCACCCUCCUUGUGCCCGUUAAAGUGCAGUUAACCCUGUCCCUGGAGGAUUCAGGAGUCUAGGCCAGCUGCAAAAGGCGGACUACCGUACAGUCUUCGUCGCGUAUAUACAACAAAUUAUACAGGAUCAAUGCCUGUAAUUCUCUCCCUUUUAUGUUGGAUUUAAUACCGAGUUUUUGUUUUGCUGCUGUGCAAAUGCCGGGUCCAUACAUCUGACGGUGUUUCUGGUCCAUAUUUACAGCUUCCCGUGGCGACCGCUUCAUUGCAAGCAAAUUUUGUUUUGCUUCCUUUUUUUGCUCCGUUCCUUUGAUAUCAGAAACCAUUGCAGUGUUGAGUGUGGAAAAGUGUUGUGAAGUGGCAUUUUGCAAGGUUUUUCGUUUGAGCAUUUUCCAUUUCGGUAUUUCAGUUGAAUCCGUGAUCUGGUUCAGAGUGUGUCUGAUAUUUAAAAAACGGGAAACAACUCGUCAACCACGGAGGGAUAUUGUCAGGCGAAUAGUUUGGAGCAAUUAAGUCAACAGAGAGGAUAACAUUUUAAGGAUCGGAACAGGUUUUCUUGAGGAUCCUCAUCAUUAACUGCUAUCUCAUGGACCACGGCAGCUGUCGGAUUAUGGUAGUUUCAGAUGUUGGCCGAUUACGCUAACACUUCGUAGCAGAUAGACAAGCCUUUUUCAAGUUCGAAGCUGUUGAAAUGCCUAUUGCAAUGGAUUAGGCGAGUUCUAAGGACGAAUGGUAUCCGGGAGAUAGGCGGGUGUAACAAGAUGAAAUGAAAAGCACUCAACGUGAUACGAAAAAUGGUGGGAAGUGUGUAACGCCAGAUGAUAUUGCAAAUGGGCGGAUAAGAUGUAAUGUAGAUAUCUAUUCCUCAAUAGGAUGUUUGAAUCUUUUGGAAAUGGGCGAAAAUAAGUUUUCUUGUUUAUGAGGCG